Molecule: ribosomal RNA, 253 nt
Filed under: uncultured Eubacteriales bacterium
Lineage: Bacteria; Bacillati; Bacillota; Clostridia; Eubacteriales
Description: uncultured Clostridiales bacterium partial 16S ribosomal RNA
Rfam family: Bacterial small subunit ribosomal RNA
Source: RNAcentral
UACGUAGGGGGCAAGCGUUAUCCGGAAUUACUGGGUGUAAAGGGAGCGUAGACGGUAAUGUAAGUCUGGAGUGAAAGGCGGGGGCCCAACCCCCGGACUGCUCUGGAAACUAUGUUACUGGAGUGCAGGAGAGGUAAGCGGAAUUCCUAGUGUAGCGGUGAAAUGCGUAGAUAUUAGGAGGAACACCAGUGGCGAAGGCAGCUUACUAAGCCAUAACUGACACUGAAGCACGAAAGCGUGGGGAUCAAACAGG